CCUACGGGGGACAGCAGUGAGGAAUAUUGGUCAAUGGACGAGAGUCUGAACCAGCCAAGUAGCGUGAAGGAUGACUGCCCUACGGGUUGUAAACUUCUUUUAUACAGGAAUAAAACGAGGCACGUGUGCCUGUUUGCAUGUACUUUAUGAAUAAGGAUCGGCUAACUCCGUGCCAGCAGCCGCGGUAAUACGGAGGAUCCGAGCGUUAUCCGGAUUUAUUGGGUUUAAAGGGAGCGUAGACGGGUUGUUAAGUCAGUUGUGAAAGUUUGCGGCUCAACCGUAAAAUUGCAUUUGAUACUGGCAGUCUUGAGUACAGUUGAGGUAGGCGGAAUUCGUGGUGUAGCGGUGAAAUGCUUAGAUAUCACGAAGAACCCCGAUUGCGAAGGCAGCUUACUAAGCUGUGACUGACAUUGAUGCUCGAAGGUGUGGGUAUCAAACAGGAUUAGAGACCCCUGUAGUC
RNAcentral lists this ribosomal RNA (460 nucleotides) under uncultured bacterium. RNAcentral describes it as "partial 16S ribosomal RNA". It matches the Rfam family "Bacterial small subunit ribosomal RNA", at positions 338 to 795 of the family's 1533-position model. The record is from RNAcentral.